GACGAACGCUGGCGGCGUGCCUAAUGCAUGCAAGUAGAACGCUGAAGGAGGAGCUUGCUCUUCUGGAUGAGUUGCGAACGGGUGAGUAACGCGUAGGUAACCUGCCUGGUAGCGGGGGAUAACUAUUGGAAACGAUAGCUAAUACCGCAUAAGAGUAGAUGUUGCAUGACAUUUACUUAAAAGUUGCAAUUGCAUCACUACCAGAUGGACCUGCGUUGUAUUAGCUUGUUGGUGGGGUAACGGCUUACCAAGGCGACGAUACAUAGCCGACCUGAGAGGGUGAUCGGCCACACUGGGACUGGGACACGGCCCAGACUCCUACGGGAGGCAGCAGUAGGGAAUCUGCGGCAAUGGAGGGAAGUCUGACCGAGCAACGACGCGUGAGUGAAGAAGGGUUUCGGAUCGUAAAGCUCUGUUGUAAGAGAAGAACGAGUGUGAGAGUGGAAAGUUCACACUGUGACGGUAUCUUACCAGAAAGGGACGGCUAACUACGUG
This 495-nucleotide ribosomal RNA is filed under the name uncultured bacterium. RNAcentral describes it as "partial 16S ribosomal RNA". It matches the Rfam family "Bacterial small subunit ribosomal RNA", at positions 28 to 507 of the family's 1533-position model. The record is from RNAcentral.